Molecule: non-coding RNA, 2140 nt
Organism: Phasianus colchicus (ring-necked pheasant)
Lineage: Eukaryota; Metazoa; Chordata; Aves; Galliformes; Phasianidae
Source: RefSeq, a predicted model, not a curated record
CACCUGAUGUCCUGGCAGACCGUCAGGCAGGGCACUCAUGUACCUUCGUGCUGCUUUGCUGCCCAGUGCCAAGGGACUGGACUUCUACAGCAGCGUGCUUUGCACAAUCAGACAGGGAUAGUAGCAUCAUCCAGCACCGACUCCUUCCCUCCCACUCCUGGUCUGUUUCCAUACGCAGUGCUCACGCAACGUGAUUUCUACAUUAAACGGGCCCUUAUGUGAAAGCGUUCUCAGCUUUCAAGUUGAGGUUUAAAAAUCCAACACGGAACGGAUGAAGUGAAACGUUUAUUUUGGACAGCGCUCCGACAAAGGGGAGGAAACCCCUCGCUGCGGGAUGGCAGCCGCGGGUCAGAGGCGUGCAAGCAGCCGUUACCGCCAUCCAGAGGAGAGCAGCCAUCGGCCGCCAGAUUCCAUUUUGUUGUGUGCGUGGAAAGGAGAACCCAACCGCUUGGUCUGGCUGGUGCUGAGGGGUCCCGGAGCAGAAAAACAACAUCCAAAAUGACAACCAGUUUCAUACGGCCUGUUUUUUAAACAUGAAAUCCGAACAAAAGCAAACUUUUGCUAGAGAUCUGCGUUCGAAGCUGACGGGAGCACUACUGAGAUGUAAGGAGCUGCGUUGGCCAGUACUCAAAAGACUGGAUGUAGUUUCCCACCACAUCUGUCCAAGCAAAUCCGUGCAAACUUUGAGCAAGUUUGGCAAGAAGCAUCCCGGUUUUGUUUUUACAGCCCUAAGAAGGAAGGGGAAAACUCCCUUGUGUGUUGGGUAUCCCAUGAAAUGGGUGAAAUGUGCUAAAAUGUGUUUAUGUGCUUUAAGACAAUCAUAAAUCAGGACAACUCCUUGAAGACAAUCUAAGGUAAACUCAGGCUUAAAGUGCAAGGAUCCCUCGUGUCACUGGUUUCAACUAGAGGAUACUGGUGUAUCUCAUACCUGUGUGCUAUGAGAAUAUUCAAUAUGAGAAACUUGAUGUGAAACAGAGGCAGCCAAUUGGAGCAGUGCUUCAGACUAAGCUGAGGUAAGAACCAUGGAUGCUUAGUUCCAGAAUUCUUCAGAAUUAAUUCUUCAAAAUAAUUUUAAUGGAAAUAAGUUCAACAGUGAGUUCCAUCUUCCAUGAUAAUGCAAGGGACUAACAGCAGUAAUGCUGGAUGACAAUAAGGCUCUAUAUGUCUGAGGCAUUUGGGUUACUCAGAGUGGACGUCUAAAAUUGUCUCAAACAGUUCUGCCUUUUGCAGAGCUCUCUGUAAUCUACCUCUUGUGGCCGUUUUACAUGCAAAAAUUUUGAUUUAAACCUGAAAAACUAACCUCAAAGAGUCCAGGUGGGUUCCUUAUCUUUCCUCGAGCUCAGCAGAGGGUGAAAAAGCCACUGGUAGAGCCCUCAGGCUGCUGAUCUGUGUGCCUGCAGCUUCCUUGCACCUCUGGCAGACAAGAAACAGUUCAGUAAUUUUCAUUAUCUUUUCAGUGUCUUUGUGAGGCUACUUGAAAUGCAGCCAAGGAAUGGGUAUGAUGGAGAUACCAUGGUAGGCAGAAAACUAACUUAGGCUUUUCUGGAAUGAGUUUUCUUCCUAGUAUAUGGAAAACAUCAUCAAAGUUCCACUGUGUGAUUUCAGAAUUUGUAAUUACUUUGAACAAGGGAGAAAUCAGGAGAACAUGAUGGAUUCUAUUGUAGGAGACAUUUAAUGCCUUAUUUGGAACACUAUCCAGAUAUUUCAUCUGUAGUCUUCAUCAAGAGUAAAGUUUACAUGAGCUCAGCUAUCUGAAAAGAAUUAAAUUCUGGAACAUUUUCUUGGCUGCUAGACAUCUGAGAAAUGUAGAAGUGGCUGAUGCCAAACUACCUGCCAUGUGUGUACUUCCUUUAGACUUAUUUUUCUAAAUGAAAUGUAGAUACCACAAAGGAUAUUUGGAAUUGAGAAGGUGAGAUCAACUAGAUUUGGCUGUCUUAAAUGUGGUCUAUCUCUUAGCAAGUGUUCUUACAGUUGCUAUUAUAACUUUGCAGGAAAGUUUUUCUCAUUAGCAAUUGUCGUUUUACAUUUCCAGCACAGAAGAAUUAAAGAUAUUGGUGCAUGUUUCCAACCACCAUUUUAGAGUUUUAGCUAAAAAUCUCUCCUUGGAUAAUGGGGUUUAUACCACAGGCACCCAGUAUGC